This 2644-nucleotide long non-coding RNA is filed under the name Homo sapiens (human). RNAcentral's name for it is "HSALNT0177961". The record is from RNAcentral. Lineage: Eukaryota; Metazoa; Chordata; Mammalia; Primates; Hominidae.
AAACAACAACAACAACAACAACAACUCCUCAAAAAAUUCAUCAUAGUGUUCCUGCAUCUCAACAUCGCUCAUGGCACAGCGCAAACCAUCAGCAGACAGGGAAGAGUUUUGAGGGUUACCGUAAAUGUUCAAGAGGGCAAUGGUCUGUCUAAACGUCCGUUUAUUGUGCAACCGAGAGCACCUGUCUCCAUGACAACAUGCUCCAAUUCUGAAAUAAAAUGAACAGCUGACUUUGUCUUUCCCAGUGCCGAAGAUGGAAGCCAGAUACUCCGCCAUUUCCCACCCACCACCCGCCAUCACCACCGCCGACACUGCUGCCAACGCAGCCCUAGAAUUUAAAACAUAGAUAUCAAAGCAUUUUCUCUGACAGAGCAAGAUAAAUUAGAAAUCAGUAACAGUAGUAAAAUGGCAAAAAUUCAUAAAAUUAUGAAAAUCAAACAAUGAAUUGAAGAAAUCACAAGAGACAUUAGAAAAUACUUACAGAUACAUGAUAAUGACCUGUAACUUUAUGCACCACACCAAAACUUAUGGAAUGCAGUGAAAGCAGUGCUAAGGAGGAAAUUUAUAGCUAUAAAUGCUUACAUUAAAAAAAAAGAUCUCAAACAACAACCUGCAAUUUAAGGAACUAGAAAAACAAAAACAAACUAAACUCAAAGCCAACAGAAGGAAGGACAUAAUAAAGAUGAGAAGAGAAAUAACAUAAGAACAGGAAAACAACAGAGAAAAUCAAUGAAACUAGAAAUCGAUUCUUUAAAAAGAUCAAUAAAUUGACAAACCUUUAGCUAGAGGGACUAAGCAAAAGAGGGAGAAGAGUCAAAUUACUAAGAUCAGAAAUGAAAGCAAGGGCAUUAUUAGUGACUCUACAGAAAUAAAAAGGAUUAUAAGAGAGUGCUAUGAACGAUUACAUGCCAACAAAUUGGAUAACCUGGAUGAAACUGAUAAAUUUUUACAAACACAAAACCUAUCACAGCUAAAUCACAAAGAAAUAGAAAAUCUGAAUAAACCUAUAACUAGCAAGGAGAUUGAAUGAGUAAUAAAAAGUCUCCUGAGAAAUGAAAGCUCUGGAACUGAUGCACUGCUGAAUUCUACCCAACAUUUAAAGAACUAACACCAAUCCUUCUCAAACCUAAAAAAAAAAGGAGAUAACACUUUCUAACUCAUUCUAUGGGGCCCUGAUACCAAAGCCACACAAAGACACUACAAGAAAAGAAAACUACAAGCCAAUAUCCUUUAUGAGCACUGAUGCAAAAAUACUCAACAAAACACUAGCAAACCACAUUUAGCAGCAUAUUAAAAGGAUUAUACACCAUGACCAAGUAGGAUCUAUUCCUGGAAUGCAAGGAUGAUUCAACAUACAAGAAUUUAUCAAUGUUUCCAUAGUAAUCUACAGAGUCAGUGCAAUCCCUAUCAAAAUCCCAAUGAUGCUUUUAGCAGAAAUAGAAAAACCCAUCCUAAAAUUCAUAUGGAACUUCAAGGGACCCUGAAUCAUCUUAAAAAAAGAAGAACAAAGCUGGAAGACUCAUACUUCCUGACUGGAAAACUUAUUACAAGCUGUAGUAAUCAAAUAGUAUGAUACUGGCAUAAAGACAGACAUAUAAACCAAUUGAAUAGAAUACACAGCCUAGAAGUAAAUGCUUGCAUAUAUGAACAAAUGAUUUUUUAUAUGGGUGCCAAGAUUAUUCAAUGGGGAAAAAAACAGUCUUUUAACAAUCGGUGCUGGGAAAUAUGGAUAUCCACAUGCAAAAGGAUAAAUUUGGACCCUUAUCUAACCAUAUACAAAAAUCAACUCAAAAUGGAACAAAGACCUAAAUGUAAGACCUAAAAGUAUAAAAUUCUAAAAGAAAAUAUAGGGCUAAUCUUUACAACUGUGAAUUUGACAGUGAUUUCUUGGAAAUGACACCAAAGGCACAGGCAACAAAAAAUAAAUAAAUUGGGGCUCAUAAAAAUUUUAAAAAUCUGUGCAAUGAAAGACACUAUCUAGAGAGUAAAAAGGCAACCCACAGAAUUGGAGAAAAUAUUUGCAAAUUACACAUAUGAUAAGAGAUUAAUAUCCACACUAUAUAGAGAACUCAUAAAUCUCAACAGUGAAAAAACAAAACAACAUGAUUUAAAAAUGGAGCCAGGCAUGGUGGCUCAUGCCUGUAAUCCCAACACUUUGGGCGGCUGAGGUGGGUGGAUCACCUGAGGUCAGGAAUUGGAGACCAGCCUGACCAAUAUGGUGAAACCCCGUCUCUAAUAAAAAUACAAAAAAAUUAGCUGGGCGUGGUGGCAUGCGCCUGUAGUUCCAACAACUCAGGAGGCCUGGACAGGAGAAUUGCUUGAACCUGGGAGGCGGAGGUUGUGGUGAGCCGAGAUCGCGCCACUACACUCCAGCCUGGGCAACAGAGCGGAACUCUGUCUCAAAAAAAAAAAAAAAAAAAAAUGGCAAAGAGCUGGGCGCAAUGGUUCACGCCUGUAAGCCCAGCACUUUGAGAGGUGGAGGUAAUCAGAUUGCUUGGGACCAGGAGUUUUGAGACCAGGUUGGACAAUAUAGCAAAACCCCACCUCUACCAAAAAUACAAAAAAAUUAGCUGGGCGUGGUGGGGCAUGCCUGUGGUCCCAGCUCCUUGAGAGGUUGUGGUGGAAGGAUUGCUUGAGCCCGGGA